GAGCCACGGCAGGGCGCGGUAAUACGUAGGUGGCAAGCGUUAUCCGGGAUUUAUUGGGCGUAAAGCGAGCGCAGGCGGUCUUUUAAGUCUAAUGUGAAAGCCUUCGGCUCAACCGAAGAAGUGCAUUGGAAACUGGGAGACUUGAGUGCAGAAGAGGACAGUGGAACUCCAUGUGUAGCGGUGAAAUGCGUAGAUAUAUGGAAGAACACCAGUGGCGAAGGCGGCUGUCUGGUCUGCAACUGACGCUGAGGCUCGAAAGCAUGGGUAGCGAACAGGAUUAGAUACCCUGGUAGUCCAUGCCGUAAACGAUGAUUACUAAGUGUUGGAGGGUUUCCGCCCUUCAGUGCUGCAGCUAACGCAUUAAGUAAUCCGCCUGGGGAGUACGACCGCAAGGUUGAAACUCAAAAGAAUUGACGGGGGCCCGCACAAGCGGUGGAGCAUGUGGUUUAAUUCGAAGCUACGCGAAGAACCUUACCAGGUCUUGACAUCUUCUGACAGUCUAAGAGAUUAGAGGUUCCCUUCGGGGACAGAAUGACAGGUGGUGCAUGGUUGUCGUCAGCUCGUGUCGUGAGAUGUUGGGUUAAGUCCCGCAACGAGCGCAACCCUUAUUACUAGUUGCCAGCAUUAAGUUGGGCACUCUAGUGAGACUGCCGGUGACAAACCGGAGGAAGGUGGGGACGACGUCAAAUCAUCAUGCCCCUUAUGACCUGGGCUACACACGUGCUACAAUGGAUGGUACAACGAGUCGCGAGACCGCGAGGUUAAGCUAAUCUCUUAAAACCAUUCUCAGUUCGGACUGUAGGCUGCAACUCGCCUACACGAAGUCGGAAUCGCUAGUAUCGCGUAAUGCUUCCCU
Molecule: ribosomal RNA, 856 nt
Filed under: Pediococcus pentosaceus
Lineage: Bacteria; Bacillati; Bacillota; Bacilli; Lactobacillales; Lactobacillaceae
Description: bacterial SSU rRNA
Rfam family: Bacterial small subunit ribosomal RNA
Source: RNAcentral